AACGAACGCUGGCGGCAGGCUUAACACAUGCAAGUCGAACGCAUCCUUCGGGGUGAGUGGCAGACGGGUGAGUAACGCGUGGGAAUCUACCCAUCUCUGCGGAAUAGCUCCGGGAAACUGGAAUUAAUACCGCAUACGCCCUACGGGGGAAAGAUUUAUCGGGGAUGGAUGAGCCCGCGUUGGAUUAGCUAGUUGGUGGGGUAAAGGCCUACCAAGGCGACGAUCCAUAGCUGGUCUGAGAGGAUGAUCAGCCACAUUGGGACUGAGACACGGCCCAAACUCCUACGGGAGGCAGCAGUGGGGAAUAUUGGACAAUGGGCGCAAGCCUGAUCCAGCCAUGCCGCGUGAGUGAUGAAGGCCUUAGGGUUGUAAAGCUCUUUCACCGAUGAAGAUAAUGACGGUAGUCGGAGAAGAAGCCCCGGCUAACUUCGUGCCAGCAGCCGCCGUAA
This 449-nucleotide ribosomal RNA is filed under the name uncultured bacterium. RNAcentral's name for it is "partial 16S ribosomal RNA". It matches the Rfam family "Bacterial small subunit ribosomal RNA", at positions 29 to 523 of the family's 1533-position model. The record is from RNAcentral.